Molecule: ribosomal RNA, 478 nt
Filed under: uncultured bacterium
Lineage: Bacteria
Description: partial 16S ribosomal RNA
Rfam family: Bacterial small subunit ribosomal RNA
Source: RNAcentral
GACGAACGCUGGCGGCGUGCUUAACACAUGCAAGUCGAACGGGAUUUAGUAAACAGAAGCCUCGGUGGAAGAUUACUAAUGAGAGUGGCGAACGGGUGAGUAACGCGUGAGCAACCUGCCUAUGACAGUGGGAUAGCCUCGGGAAACCGGGAUUAAUACCGCAUAAAAUCGUAGAAACACAUGUUUUAACGGUCAAAGAUUUAUCGGUCAUAGAUGGGCUCGCGUCUGAUUAGCUAGUUGGUGAGAUAACAGCCCACCAAGGCGACGAUCAGUAGCCGGUCUGAGAGGAUGAACCGCCACAUUGGAACUGAGACACGGUCCAAACUCCUACGGGAGGCAGCAGUGGGGAAUAUUGCACAAUGGGGGAAACCCUGAUGCAGCGACGCCGCGUGAACGAAGAAGGUAUUCGUAUCGUAAAGUUCUGUCCUAUGGGAAGAUAAUGACAGUACCAUAGAAGAAAGCUCCGGCUAAAUACGUG